UGGGGAAUAUUGGACAAUGGGGGGAACCCUGAUCCAGCGAUGCCGCGUGUGUGAAGAAGGCCUGCGGGUUGUAAAGCACUUUCAGUUGGGAAGAGGAAGGUAAUUCUAAAAGAGUUACUGGAAGACGUUACUAACAGAAGAAGCACCGGCUAACUCUGUGCCAGCAGCCGCGGUAAUACAGAGGGUGCGAGCGUUAAUCGGAGUGACUGGGCGUAAAGGGCACGUAGGCGGUUUAUUUAGUCUGAUGUGAAAUAACUAGGCUUAACCUGGUAUGUGCAUUGGAAACGGAUAGGCUAGAGUAUUGGAGAGGGAAGUGGAAUUUCCGGUGUAGCGGUGAAAUGCGUAGAGAUCGGAAAGAACACUCGUGGCGAAGGCGACUUCCUGGCCAAAGACUGACGCUGAGGUGCGAAAGCGUGGGUAGCAAACAGGAUUAGAUACCCCCGUAGUCC
Molecule: ribosomal RNA, 449 nt
Filed under: uncultured bacterium
Lineage: Bacteria
Description: bacterial SSU rRNA
Rfam family: Bacterial small subunit ribosomal RNA
Source: RNAcentral